Long non-coding RNA from Apis cerana (Asiatic honeybee), 628 nucleotides. RefSeq lists it as uncharacterized. NCBI's taxonomy places the organism in Eukaryota, Metazoa, Arthropoda, Insecta, Hymenoptera, Apidae. The record is from RefSeq and is a predicted model, not a curated record.
AAUACAAUCAAAUAAUUAAAGAAUAAAUAUAAUAAUAGAUUGAAAUGAUUUAAGUUGAUAAUUAUAUUUAUUAAGAUUCCCUAGUGAAACUAAUAAGUAAAAUAUUGAGUUAUCUUAAUUUAUCAAUAAAGUAAUUGCAAAAUAGAAUGUUUGUAUCAUGAUAACAAUUAGAAAAUAUGAGUUGAGGUCAAAAAGACAUCUUACUCAAUAAUAAUAUAAAUUUGAGAAUUACUUGGUUUUGAGGAUGAGUUACUUGCUGCUGUUGAGUUACUGAAGAUACAGAUGCCUGAGUUUGAGAAGCAGUAACUGUUUGUGGCACUUGAGUGGGCACUGAUUGACUUACACAGGAUACUGUUAGCUGUCCAGCUUGUCCAUGGGUUUGUUGAGCUGUUAUUGACAUUGAAGCUUGUUGUUGGACAUUUUGUUGCUGCUGCUGCUGCUGCUGUUGUUGUUGUUGCUGCUGUUGCAAUUGCUGUAGUUGAGUUAAUCUUAAUUGUUGUUGUUGAGUUAAUUGUUGCUGCUGCUGCUGUUGUUGUUGUUGUUGUUGUUGCGCAUUAGCAGCCAUGACAUUGAUAUUAGUCACUGAAGAUGUAAAAUAUACAUAAAUAUAUAACAUAUUAAUUUUUUU